ACUACAGAACCUUUCUUUCUAUUCUAAUAUAUAAUAAAUUAAUCUAACUUAUGUAAAAGAUUUGAAAUACAUGCGGAAUGUGUCCAUUGGACACAGAUGAUGCUCCCGCUUGCAUAUCAUAAAAGUUAUAAACGGACAUAACUGAAGAACAGUAAAAGUGACACUUACCAAUUGUGUACUAACUUUUAUGGUGAUAAGUAUUGUGUAAAAGUUUCAUAACAUU
This 223-nucleotide long non-coding RNA is filed under the name Mytilus galloprovincialis (Mediterranean mussel). Lineage: Eukaryota; Metazoa; Mollusca; Bivalvia; Mytilida; Mytilidae. The record is from RNAcentral.